GAUGAACGUUGGCGGCGUGCCUAACACAUGCAAGUCGAACGCUAGUAGCAAUAUUAGAGUGGCGCACGGGUGAGUAACACGUAGCUUACCCACCUCCCAGCGCGGGAUAACGGUUCGAAAGAACUGCUAAUACCGCAUAAGCUCACGGGCUAUAGAGGCUAGUGAGAAAAGGCUUAGGUCACUGGGAGCGGGGGCUGCGGCCCAUCAGCUGGUUGGGGCGGUAACGGCGCACCAAGGCGACGACGGGUAGGGGACCUGAGAGGGUGA
Molecule: ribosomal RNA, 267 nt
Filed under: uncultured bacterium
Lineage: Bacteria
Description: partial 16S ribosomal RNA
Rfam family: Bacterial small subunit ribosomal RNA
Source: RNAcentral